AUUGAACGCUGGCGGCAUGCUUUACACAUGCAAGUCGAACGGUAACAGGCCGCAAGGUGCUGACGAGUGGCCAACGGGUGAGUAAUGCAUCGAAACGUGCCCAGUCGUGGGGGAUAACGCAGCGAAAGCUGUUCUAAUACCGCAUACGAUCCAUGGAUGAAAGCGGGGGACCGUAAGGCCUCGCGCGAUUGGAGCGGCCGAUGUCAGAUUAGGGAGUUGGUGGGGUAAAGGCUCACCAAGCCAACGAUCUGAAGCUGGUCUGAGAGGACGACCAGCCACACUGGGACUGAGACACGGCCCAGACUCCUACGGGAGGCAGCAGUGGGGAAUUUUGGACAAUGGGCGAAAGCCUGAUCCAGCAAUGCCGCGUGCAGGAAGAAGGCCUUCGGGUUGUAAACUGCUUUUGUACGGAACGAAAAGGUUUGGGUUAAUACCCUGGGCCGAUGACGGUACCGUAAGAAUAAGCACCGGCUAACUACGUGCCAGCAGCCGCGGUAA
This 498-nucleotide ribosomal RNA is filed under the name uncultured bacterium. RNAcentral describes it as "partial 16S ribosomal RNA". It matches the Rfam family "Bacterial small subunit ribosomal RNA", at positions 30 to 523 of the family's 1533-position model. The record is from RNAcentral.